UCUGAAUUCACGAUAGCUAAGAUCCAAACUGGGAUUAGAUACCCCAUUAUGCUUAGCCCUAAACAUAAACAUUCAACAAACAAGAAUAUUCGCCAGAGUACUACUAGCAAUAGCCUGAAACUCAAAGGACUUGGCGGUGCUUUACACCCCUCUAGAGGAGCCUGUUCUAUAAUCGAUAAACCCCGAUACACCUCACCACCUUUAGCAAAUAUCAGCCUAUAUACCGCCAUCUACAGCAAACCCUAAAAAGGCCCUACAGUAAGCAAGAAAAUUUUACAUUAGUACGUUAGGUCAAGGUGUAGCCUAUAGGGUGGGAAGAAAUGGGCUACAUUUUCUAUUUUCCUAGAAUAACCCCACGAUAGCUUUUAUGAAACUCAGAGCAUAAGGCGGAUUUAGUAGUA
This 401-nucleotide ribosomal RNA is filed under the name Pardofelis marmorata (marbled cat). Its description in RNAcentral is "partial 12S ribosomal RNA". It matches the Rfam family "Bacterial small subunit ribosomal RNA", at positions 745 to 1340 of the family's 1533-position model. Lineage: Eukaryota; Metazoa; Chordata; Mammalia; Carnivora; Felidae. The record is from RNAcentral.